This 315-nucleotide unclassified non-coding RNA is filed under the name plant metagenome. RNAcentral's name for it is "partial contains 5.8S ribosomal RNA, internal transcribed spacer 2, and large subunit ribosomal RNA". The stretch from base 1 to 105 matches the Rfam family "5.8S ribosomal RNA", at positions 50 to 154 of the family's 154-position model. The record is from RNAcentral.
GAAAUGCGAUAACUAAUGUGAAUUGCAGAAUUCAGUGAAUCAUCGAGUCUUUGAACGCACAUUGCGCCCCCUGGUAUUCCGGGGGGCAUGCCUGUCCGAGCGUCAUUGCUGCCCUCAAGCCCGGCUUGUGUGUUGGGUCGCCGUCCCCCUCUCCGGGGGACGGGCCCGAAAGGCAGCGGCGGCACCGCGUCCGAUCCUCGAGCGUAUGGGGCUUUGUCACAUGCUCUGUAGGAUUGGCCGGCGCCUGCCGACGUUUUCCAACCAUUCUUUCCAGGUUGACCUCGGAUCAGGUAGGGAUACCCGCUGAACUUAAGC